CCUACGGGAGGCAGCAGUGAGGAAUAUUGGUCAAUGGGAGGUAUCCUGAACCAGCCAUGCCGCGUGCAGGACGAAGGCUCUACGAGUUGUAAACUGCUUUUGUACCGGGGUAAAAUGCUCUACGAGUAGGGUUUUGAAAGUACGGUACGAAUAAGGAUCGGCUAACUCCGUGCGAGCAGCCGCGGUAAUACGGAGGAUCCGAGCGUUAUCCGGGUUCAUUGGGGGUAAAGGGUGCGUAGGGUGUUUUAUAAGUUAGCGGUGAAAUACCGAUGCUCAACAUCGGGGCUGCCGCGAAUACUGUAGGACUAGAGGUCAGAUGCAGCAGGCGGAAUGUGUAGUGUAGCGGUGAAAUGCAGAGAUAUUA
RNAcentral lists this ribosomal RNA (364 nucleotides) under uncultured bacterium. RNAcentral describes it as "partial 16S ribosomal RNA". It matches the Rfam family "Bacterial small subunit ribosomal RNA", at positions 338 to 699 of the family's 1533-position model. The record is from RNAcentral.